RNAcentral lists this ribosomal RNA (372 nucleotides) under uncultured bacterium. RNAcentral describes it as "bacterial SSU rRNA". It matches the Rfam family "Bacterial small subunit ribosomal RNA", at positions 524 to 898 of the family's 1533-position model. The record is from RNAcentral.
UACGGAGGAUCCAAGCGUUAUCCGGAUUUAUUGGGUUUAAAGGGUGCGUAGGCGGGCCUGUAAGUCAGCGGUGAAAGUUCCCGGCUCAACCGGGGAAUUGCCGUUGAAACUACUGGCCUUGAGUGUAGAUGAGGUAGGCGGAAUUCGUAGUGUAGCGGUGAAAUGCUUAGAUAUUACGAAGAACUCCAAUUGCGAAGGCAGCUUACUAGGCUACAACUGACGCUGAGGCACGAAGGUGCGGGGAUCAAACAGGAUUAGAUACCCUGGUAGUCCGCACAGUAAACGAUGAAUACUAACUGUUUGCGAUAUACAGCAAGUGGUAAAGCGAAAGCGUUAAGUAUUCCACCUGGGGAGUACGCCGGCAACGGUGAA